UUAAAUUGAAGAGUUUGAUCAUGGCUCAGAUUGAACGCUGGCGGCAGGCCUAACACAUGCAAGUCGAACGGUAGCACAGAGAGCUUGCUCUAGG
RNAcentral lists this ribosomal RNA (94 nucleotides) under Salmonella enterica. RNAcentral describes it as "partial 16S ribosomal RNA". It matches the Rfam family "Bacterial small subunit ribosomal RNA", at positions 1 to 89 of the family's 1533-position model. Lineage: Bacteria; Pseudomonadati; Pseudomonadota; Gammaproteobacteria; Enterobacterales; Enterobacteriaceae. The record is from RNAcentral.